This 465-nucleotide ribosomal RNA is filed under the name Vreelandella stevensii. RNAcentral describes it as "partial 16S ribosomal RNA". It matches the Rfam family "Bacterial small subunit ribosomal RNA", at positions 338 to 795 of the family's 1533-position model. Lineage: Bacteria; Pseudomonadati; Pseudomonadota; Gammaproteobacteria; Oceanospirillales; Halomonadaceae. The record is from RNAcentral.
CCUACGGGAGGCUGCAGUGGGGAAUAUUGGACAAUGGGGGCAACCCUGAUCCAGCCAUGCCGCGUGUGUGAAGAAGGCCCUCGGGUUGUAAAGCACUUUCAGUGAGGAAGAACGCCUGGUGGUUAAUACCCAUCAGGAAAGACAUCACUCACAGAAGAAGCACCGGCUAACUCCGUGCCAGCAGCCGCGGUAAUACGGAGGGUGCGAGCGUUAAUCGGAAUUACUGGGCGUAAAGCGCGCGUAGGUGGCUUGAUAAGCCGGUUGUGAAAGCCCCGGGCUCAACCUGGGAACGGCAUCCGGAACUGUCAAGCUAGAGUGCAGGAGAGGAAGGUAGAAUUCCCGGUGUAGCGGUGAAAUGCGUAGAGAUCGGGAGGAAUACCAGUGGCGAAGGCGGCCUUCUGGACUGACACUGACACUGAGGUGCGAAAGCGUGGGUAGCAAACAGGAUUGGAUACCCUAGUAGUC